This 30-nucleotide non-coding RNA is filed under the name Mus musculus (house mouse). Lineage: Eukaryota; Metazoa; Chordata; Mammalia; Rodentia; Muridae. The record is from RNAcentral.
AAAGUUAAGCUCAGGUACAAGAACACAAAC